GGGCAUGCCUAUACUGCAGUCGAGCGAGCUUGCCUAGAUGAUUUUAGUGCUUGCACUAAAUGAAACUAGAUACAAGCGAGCGGCGGACGGGUGAGUAACACGUGGGUAACCUGCCCAAGAGACUGGGAUAACACCUGGAAACAGAUGCUAAUACCGGAUAACAACACUAGACGCAUGUCUAGAGUUUGAAAGAUGGUUCUGCUAUCACUCUUGGAUGGACCUGCGGUGCAUUAGCUAGUUGGUAAGGUAACGGCUUACCAAGGCAAUGAUGCAUAGCCGAGUUGAGAGACUGAUCGGCCACAUCGGGACUGAGACACGGCCCAAACUCCUACGGGAGGCAGCAGUAGGGAAUCUUCCACAAUGGACGAAAGUCUGAUGGAGCAACGCCGCGUGAGUGAAGAAGGGUUUCGGCUCGUAAAGCUCUGUUGGUAGUGAAGAAAGAUAGAGGUAGUAACUGGCCUUUAUUUGACGGUAAUUACUUAGAAAGUCACGGCUAACUACGUGCCAGCAGCCGCGGUAAUACGUAGGUGGCAAGCGUUGUCCGGAUUUAUUGGGCGUAAAGCGAGUGCAGGCGGUUCAAUAAGUCUGAUGUGAAAGCCUUCGGCUCAACCGGAGAAUUGCAUCAGAAACUGUUGAACUUGAGUGCAGAAGAGGAGAGUGGAACUCCAUGUGUAGCGGUGGAAUGCGUAGAUAUAUGGAAGAACACCAGUGGCGAAGGCGGCUCUCUGGUCUGCAACUGACGCUGAGGCU
Molecule: ribosomal RNA, 750 nt
Filed under: uncultured bacterium
Lineage: Bacteria
Description: bacterial SSU rRNA
Rfam family: Bacterial small subunit ribosomal RNA
Source: RNAcentral